Molecule: ribosomal RNA, 447 nt
Filed under: uncultured bacterium
Lineage: Bacteria
Description: bacterial SSU rRNA
Rfam family: Bacterial small subunit ribosomal RNA
Source: RNAcentral
AUCCCAGACUCCUACGGGAGGCAGCAGUGGGGAAUAUUGCACAAUGGGGGGAACCCUGAUGCAGCGACGCCGCGUGAGCGAUGAAGUAUUUCGGUAUGUAAAGCUCUAUCAGCAGGGAAGAAAAUGACGGUACCUGACUAAGAAGCCCCGGCUAACUACGUGCCAGCAGCCGCGGUAAUACGUAGGGGGCAAGCGUUAUCCGGAUUUACUGGGUGUAAAGGGAGCGUAGACGGUCCUGCAAGCCAGAUGUGAAAGCCCGGGGCUCAACCCCGGGACUGCAUUUGGAACUGUAAGGCUAGAGUGUCGGAGAGGCAGGCGGAAUUCCUAGUGUAGCGGUGAAAUGCGUAGAUAUUAGGAGGAACACCAGUGGCGAAGGCGGCCUGCUGGGCUUUUACUGACGCUGAGGCUCGAAAGUGUGGGGAGCAAACAGGAUUAGAUACCCCCGUA